RNAcentral lists this long non-coding RNA (352 nucleotides) under Brassica napus (rape). Its description in RNAcentral is "long non-coding RNA (BNAP_LNC003273)". Lineage: Eukaryota; Viridiplantae; Streptophyta; Magnoliopsida; Brassicales; Brassicaceae. The record is from RNAcentral.
AGAAGAAGCAAAGGUGUCUCAUGGUUUCUAUAAACGUGGCGGCGAAAAUUGGAUGAUAUGGAUGAAAUUGAAAUCAAGAACAUAGGUGACCAAGAAAAAAUAGCAAGAAUUAACAUACAUUUAUCUGCUUCACCUCACAAACAUCACUUUCAGGGAAGGAGGAGUCUUGCACCUAUGACCAUAUGAACACAUACCCUAACCACAUCUCACCAACAACCACUUAUCACCAAGCCAAGUUUCACCGACCGACGUGUCACCCAACCACUUUUCACUCAACCACACUUCUCCCGACUACGAAACGCAAGAACCACCACAACGAAUAAGGCGGAGGUGGUGUCCACGCCGGCGUAAU